Non-coding RNA from Pelobates cultripes (western spadefoot toad), 903 nucleotides. NCBI's taxonomy places the organism in Eukaryota, Metazoa, Chordata, Amphibia, Anura, Pelobatidae. The record is from the annotation of a GenBank genome assembly.
GAACCGACACCAUCCUGUCCGAACCGACACCCUGACCCGGCACCAUCCUGUCAGAACCGACACCCUGACCUGGCACCAUCCUGUCAGAACCGACACCAUCCUGUCAGAACCGACACCCUGACCCGACACCAUCCUGUCAGAACCGACACCCUGACCCGGCACCAUCCUGUCAGAACCGACACCCUGACCCGGCACCAUCCUGUCAGAACCGACACCCUGACCCAACAUUGUUUGAUAAUGGACUUUAUUGUAAACUUGAGAAAUGCAGAUUUGCUCAGCACGAGGUUCGGUUUUCGCGGUAUAAUAUUUCUGCCUCUGGUUUCCAAAUGGAUCCUCGCAAACUAGAGGCCGUUCUGUGUUCCAAGCCAUCCAGGGGUCUAUUAGUUUCCAUAACUAUUGUAGGAGAUUAAUCAAAGGUUUCUCUUGGGUAAUAGCCCCCAUCUCCAAUAUGACACACAGGGGGGCUAAUUGUACAAUAUGGGCUAAAUGAAGAUUGAGUAGAUGACCGCUUCUUACUUCCUCCGAUAGUAAAACAUAUUUAUUAUAAACAAUCAACACAAAAAUACAGAAAUAAAACUGCCUUAUACUGUCCAACCCUACGUGUUUCGUUCGGUAUCUGUCCGAACUUCGUCAGGGUUAUAAAUAAAAAAGUUUACUCCUCGAUGCUGGGAGCUGUCUGAACCUCCAGUAUGCUCUGUUUAAUUUUUAAAUCCAGUACAAUCCAAUACUUAGCGCAUGCGUUCCACAAGAAAAUGCACAAUCCAUCUGAGGUCUGUCUUGGAUUCAUCAUUUUAAAUUGCAAAGGUGCUGUAUUCCACAGAGUCUUAGUCUUGUUUGGUUGGUCCAGAAUGCUCACCGUUUUCACAUGAAAUAAAAACAAUAUUAUAUGUAUCACAAACAGAU